Empidonax traillii (willow flycatcher) is the source of this 372-nucleotide long non-coding RNA. RefSeq lists it as uncharacterized. The transcript is spliced from 4 exons. The record is from RefSeq and is a predicted model, not a curated record. NCBI's taxonomy places the organism in Eukaryota, Metazoa, Chordata, Aves, Passeriformes, Tyrannidae.
CUCUCUUUUAACAGCAAUCAAAGUUUUCACUGAAUUUUUAUUCAGCAUUUGCAUCUUACUGCACUAUUCCAAAUUACAGACAUCUAAAAUACAUGGCAUGGAAGAUUAAGCCUUUGACUGUUAUAAGUAUUACAUGUAUGAAUACAUGCAAAAUGUAUAGAUUGUGAGAGAGAAAUUCAUAAUCAAUAAGGAAGGCUUCUGCAUACAAGUGGAGAUCUUGCAUAUGGGGGAAGGUUAAGCACAGAAGGAUGGAUUUUUCAAUGUGCACUGCAUAGGCUGAUGAUGUAAUUUUAUUUUCAGAGUGGAAAUCUGCCCCUCAACAAGCUAGCCUCCCAUCUCAAAUGAAACCUCAAAAGCAGAACCAGUGUAAAA